RNAcentral lists this long non-coding RNA (264 nucleotides) under Phaseolus vulgaris (common bean). Its description in RNAcentral is "long non-coding RNA (PVUL_LNC004388)". Lineage: Eukaryota; Viridiplantae; Streptophyta; Magnoliopsida; Fabales; Fabaceae. The record is from RNAcentral.
GAAUGACAAGUGAUAACCAAAAUAACAGACAAGCAUAAUAAUAUAAAGAGGAAUGGAAUGGAAUGGAUGGCGCAAAAAGAAAGAUAAAAGGAGGAAGGGACGAAGAAAGCUUAUGAAAGAAGAAGGGUUGUCAUGCCACUUGGCGAAAGGAGACACUCCAAGUUGAGUGGUGAAAGAGUCGCCACUUGAAGUACUCACACACUUAAGAUAAGACACACUAUGAGAACUCUCAAGUCUCACAAAAACACUCCUGCUGAGUUUCUU